GUGAUUAAUUAUUGAGUGUAAAAAACUCAUAAUCUUCUAUACAAACCACUGUUUUAAAAUGUUUACUAGAAUGUCCAAGCAGUUAAGCUGUUGAAAUAUUAAAAGUUUAAUA
Molecule: unclassified non-coding RNA, 112 nt
Filed under: uncultured fungus
Lineage: Eukaryota; Fungi
Description: sequence contains ITS1
Source: RNAcentral